GACGAACGCUGGCGGCGUGCUUAACACAUGCAAGUCGAACGGGACUGAUUGAAAGCUUGCUUUUGAAAAGUCUAGUGGCAAACGGGUGAGUAACGCGUAGGCAACCUGCCUCUAAGAUGGGGACAACAGUCCGAAAGGACUGCUAAUACCGAAUGUUGUGAGUUUUCCGCAUGGGGAGCUCAUUAAAGAUGGCCUCUACUUGUAAGCUAUCACUUAGAGAUGGGCCUGCGUCUGAUUAGCUAGUUGGUGGGGUAACGGCCCACCAAGGCGACGAUCAGUAGCCGGUCUGAGAGGAUGAACGGCCACAUUGGGACUGAGACACGGCCCAGACUCCUACGGGAGGCAGCAGUGGGGAAUCUUCCGCAAUGGGCGAAAGCCUGACGGAGCAACGCCGCGUGAGUGAAGAAGGUCUUCGGAUCGUAAAGCUCUGUCGAAGGGGACGAACGUAGGUCCUAUCAACAACCGAGUGCUCAUGA
RNAcentral lists this ribosomal RNA (476 nucleotides) under bacterium FC4003. Its description in RNAcentral is "bacterial SSU rRNA". It matches the Rfam family "Bacterial small subunit ribosomal RNA", at positions 28 to 472 of the family's 1533-position model. The record is from RNAcentral.